This is a non-coding RNA of Oncorhynchus kisutch (coho salmon), 949 nucleotides long. NCBI's taxonomy places the organism in Eukaryota, Metazoa, Chordata, Actinopteri, Salmoniformes, Salmonidae. The record is from RefSeq and is a predicted model, not a curated record.
UCUAUAAAGGCAGAGAUCGGCUCCUUACUAUUAUUAUCUCUAUCAACAACAAGAUAUACUGUACUCACUUCUGAUUUAGCUUACUGCUGUCUAGGAGUCACACUGAGCUAUAGCAUACUCACAGCUAUACGAACAACUAUACAGCUAUAAUAGAAGCAAGCCGAGAAACGCAGCCAUGAAGCUCGAAUCAAGAAAAUCGUCACUGAAAAGAACUGAGAGCCAGAAAGAGACCGUACCAAACAAAGAUCAGAAAGCCAUCAUGGAAUGUGCGCAACAUCUGCGUAAAAUCGGAGACCUGUUCAACCUGAAAUACAUCCUGGCGGAUAUGCGAGCUAAAAUCUCAACGGAUCCGAAAAUCAAGUGAAAUGGAUACAGUAGCUGACUUUGAUAGUAAAGUGGAUCGAAAUUGGAUCAUUAUGCCUUAACGGGAAAUGUGUUGCGGUCGUUGCAAUGUGAAAAGUUUGUUACAAUAACGCAAAGCCAAUAUGGACCUCACACGCCCAUGCCCGGAGCUAGGCUACUCUCGGACCGGAGUAUCUUUCUGGACGCUCCUUCAACAGAGACUGCCUUCUACGUCCCGGGACGCUGGUGGGUAUUUGUUCAUAGUCUAAGAGAUAUAUACCACCGCCCUAUUGGAUUAUUUAGGCCGGGAAAAUGAAAACGGGCCGGGAAGCCGAAACAGAACAUUUGGAGUAAAGAGAAGACAGGAUAGCAAACCAACAUGUAGACUAAAAUAGAGACUAAAAUAGUAUAUAUUUGUUAUCAAACGUUUGAUUCUAAUCGUCAGGGUAUUUUAUGCUGUCUGUUUUAAAUUUGUUUGGUGAUUGAGUUAUGCUUAUCUGUUUGAAAAUAAUUUUAUGCUGUCUGUUUUAAGUUUGUUUGGUGAUUUAAAAUGUACUUAUUUGUUUGAAUAUAAUGUCAAUAAAUGUUUUGAUUUCUUCUAUUGUCA